GGGUUGAGCCAUCAUAAUAUGCUUCGCAUAAAAGAACGCUGCGCAUGGCAGUACCCAUUCCACCGUGCUAGUACUGUCAACGCUACCAGGGCAGCCAUUUUCCCGACGUGGACCCUCUCAUAGCCACUGGAAGCGUUCACGCGGAGUCGGAGGUGUAGGGUGCCUUAGGCUGGGACCGGACGCCAGACGCGUACUCCUCAGACCACCCGCAGUGCAUCGUAGUCUUCUGAGCAGACGUGCAUUCUGUUCCAAAGCUGCACGUCUUCCAAACGCCGCUUUCAAAGACAAUGGUGAGACGAAGGAAUCGAGCUCCGCCAAGGAGGGUGCUUCUUGAGGAUUUUAUGGCCGACUUGGAAUUACUCGAGCAUGUGCUCGUCUUCAUCCUACAGGCCUUGUUGGACCUGGAGGUGCUCUUCCUCGAUCUGUGGCACACUUUGCGAAGCAGUCUUUAAACGCUGCGCUGCCACAUGGACGUCAUUUUUUUUUCCUUUAGUCAAUUUUGAUGGAGCAGUACAUCUUGCUCACUUGAAUACACGCUGCAUUUCUCCUUUGUUCACUAUUAGUGGCCAAUUCGACUACGACUGGGGAAAGUGUUCUGCUGGUCCUGUAAAACACUCCUCACAGCAGCAUUGCAUAAUAAAACAGGCAACCAAAAUGUGCA
Molecule: long non-coding RNA, 661 nt
Organism: Dermacentor albipictus
Lineage: Eukaryota; Metazoa; Arthropoda; Arachnida; Ixodida; Ixodidae
Source: RefSeq, a predicted model, not a curated record